ACCCUCCAGAUUUCUUAGCCCUCGGAUCUAAAUACUGGUCUGAUGGCUACAAAAGGAGGGACAGUAAAACUGAAGUGGACUUGGAACCUUUAGGGACACAGAAGUUCAAGUUCACUUCAAACAUUA
Molecule: small nucleolar RNA, 126 nt
Filed under: Echinops telfairi (small Madagascar hedgehog)
Lineage: Eukaryota; Metazoa; Chordata; Mammalia; Afrosoricida; Tenrecidae
Description: Small nucleolar RNA SNORA61 (ENSETEG00000024095.1)
Source: RNAcentral